Molecule: ribosomal RNA, 460 nt
Filed under: uncultured bacterium
Lineage: Bacteria
Description: partial 16S ribosomal RNA
Rfam family: Bacterial small subunit ribosomal RNA
Source: RNAcentral
CCUACGGGAGGCAGCAGUGAGGAAUAUUGGUCAAUGGACGAGAGUCUGAACCAGCCAAGUAGCGUGAAGGAUGACUGCCCUAUGGGUUGUAAACUUCUUUUAUAAAGGAAUAAAACGAGGCACGUGUGCCGUUUUGCAUGUACUUUAUGAAUAAGGAUCGGCUAACUCCGUGCCAGCAGCCGCGGUAAUACGGAGGAUCCGAGCGUUAUCCGGAUUUAUUGGGUUAAAAGGGAGCGUAGAUGGGUUGUUAAGUCAGUUGUGAAAGUUUGCGGCUCAACCGUAAAAUUGCAAUUGAUACUGGCAGUCUUGAGUACAGGUGAGGUAGGUGGAAUUCGUGGUGUAGCGGUGAAAUGCUUAGAUAUCACGAAGAACCCCGAUUGCGAAGGCAGCUUACUAGACUGUGACUGACAGUGAUGCGCGAAAGUGUGGGUAUCAAACAGGAUUAGAUACCCCUGUAGUC